This 467-nucleotide ribosomal RNA is filed under the name uncultured bacterium. RNAcentral describes it as "bacterial SSU rRNA". It matches the Rfam family "Bacterial small subunit ribosomal RNA", at positions 28 to 496 of the family's 1533-position model. The record is from RNAcentral.
GAUGAACGCUGGCGGCGUGCUUAACACAUGCAAGUCGAACGGGAAACAUUUUAUUGAAGCUUCGGCAGAUUUAGAUUGUUUCUAGUGGCGGACGGGUGAGUAACGCGUGGGUAACCUGCCUUAUACCGGGGGAUAACAGCCAGAAAUGACUGCUAAUACCGCAUAAGCGCACAGAACCGCAUGGUUCCGUGUGAAAAACUCCGGUGGUAUAAGAUGGACCCGCGUUGGAUUAGCUAGUUGGCAGGGCAGCGGCCUACCAAGGCGACGAUCCAUAGCCGGCCUGAGAGGGUGAACGGCCACAUUGGGACUGAGACACGGCCCAGACUCCUACGGGAGGCAGCAGUGGGGAAUAUUGCACAAUGGGGGAAACCCUGAUGCAGCGACGCCGCGUGAAGGAAGAAGUAUCUCGGUAUGUAAACUUCUAUCAGCAGGGAAGAUAAUGACGGUACCUGACUAAGAAGCCCCGG